RNAcentral lists this ribosomal RNA (253 nucleotides) under uncultured bacterium. Its description in RNAcentral is "partial 16S ribosomal RNA". It matches the Rfam family "Bacterial small subunit ribosomal RNA", at positions 524 to 776 of the family's 1533-position model. The record is from RNAcentral.
AACGUAGGAGGCAAGCGUUAUCCGGGGUUACUGGGCGUAAAGCGCGUGUAGGUGGGUUGGUAAGUUACUUAUGAAAGCUCCUGGCUAAACUAGGAGAGGUUGAGUGAUACUGCCAGUCUUGAAUAGAGGAGAGGUUGACGGAAUUCCGCGUGUAGUGGUGAAAUGCGUAGAGAUCGGGAGGAACAUCAGUUGCGAAGGCGGCUCUCUGGACCAGUACUGACGCUGAGGCACGAAAGCGUGGGGAGCAAACAGG